RNAcentral lists this unclassified non-coding RNA (328 nucleotides) under uncultured bacterium. RNAcentral's name for it is "contains 16S-23S intergenic spacer region". The record is from RNAcentral.
ACGAAACGCUCAGGAAAUUGUGCCAUAUACGGCCGAAUGCCCAGCAAGUCCUGCGUGUCAGCCGAAACCACUACGGCCUGGGGAUCACGUGUGGCGACCUCAAGCAAGGCCUGGCCAAAAGCCAGCCGCGUCUGGUUGGCAGCUUUGGCGCGCCAGUCGUUGUUCUGUGCUGUACUCAUGACGAGACCUCCAGUUCCGCCAGGGCGCGGGCAUAUACCUCAUCGGUCACCGUGUUGCUGUGCCAGACAUAGGUGUCUUCGGCAAAGCUGACCCCCUUGCCUUUCACCGUAUGGGCGAUGAGCGCUGAGGGCUUCUGGUCGUUAAACGG